RNAcentral lists this unclassified non-coding RNA (233 nucleotides) under Hevea brasiliensis (rubber tree). The record is from RNAcentral. Lineage: Eukaryota; Viridiplantae; Streptophyta; Magnoliopsida; Malpighiales; Euphorbiaceae.
ACUAUACCUUAUAUUGAAUUACCUAUCUCAAUAAAUUGAGUUUUAGUUUAAACAAUGGUAAACCUGAAAUCACUAGUCACGAUACCUGUGGCAGCUAACACAUGAGACCACAAUUGUUUAACCAAAGAAACUAACAGGAAUACAGAAACCCAGGAGACAUUUUUAGAAUAUUUCACCUAAUAUAAAUAUUUAAUAAGCUCCUCUAAUUAAUAUAUAAGGUUAUGAACAUAAAA